This 687-nucleotide long non-coding RNA is filed under the name Nicotiana benthamiana. Its description in RNAcentral is "long non-coding RNA (NBEN_LNC011425)". Lineage: Eukaryota; Viridiplantae; Streptophyta; Magnoliopsida; Solanales; Solanaceae. The record is from RNAcentral.
CCGGUUGUGCAUCAAUAUUCUGAAACAAAAGAUUUCCAACUUCAUGAGACUUUUAAAUGCCUUGUUUUUAAAAAGGACUGUUUUUUUUGGUCAUUAAAAAGGAAUAAUAAAGAAACCUUAACUUGCACCGGAUAGAGUGAAGGAAAAUUCAUCUCGGAUUCGGCUGUCUUUUGCCUUCUAUUUCUUCUUCUAUUUCUUAUCGACGCAACUGUGGAAUCUGCAGUCUUAAUGAAUAUUACCCUUCGCUAUGAGAUUGGCAAUUUACUUAAAAAAGGAAAGUGAAUGGGGUUUUGCAGGAGAUUUUGCAUUAUCUGAUGAGAAAUAGAACGAAAAGGGUGAAGUUUUUGGGUUCUAGAUGGUGGAGAGAUUAGUGGAAAAAUAAUCCCUACAAUUUUGAGAUUUUGGUUGAAUAUGGGAGAUUCUUAAGCUCUAACACAUGAUCCCUUAAAUCAUGGGUCAGUGUUUAGAAAUAAAAAAUUUAAUGGUAACAUAUUAUUUUUAAAAUAUGUUAUAUAUAAAUAUGAAUUUGCUCCUUUUCAAAUAAAUCAAAAGUACUAUUGUUUAUAUAAUAUUUGCUUCCUAAUUGCUCUAGUAAAAAUCUCUUUUUAUUUAAAACUCACUCACUUAUGUUGGACCAAAUUUAAAAGGCCAAAAAAUCACUUGAAAGGAAUGGAUGAAAACACAAAG